UACGAAGGGUGCAAGCGUUACUCGGAAUUACUGGGCGUAAAGCGUGCGUAGGUGGUUCGUUAAGUCUGACGUGAAAGCCCUGGGCUCAACCUGGGAACUGCAUUGGAUACUGGCGAUCUGGAGUGCGGUAGAGGGUAGCGGAAUUCCCGGUGUAGCAGUGAAAUGCGUAGAUAUCGGGAGGAACAUCCGUGGCGAAGGCGGCUACCUGGACCAGCACUGACACUGAGGCACGAAAGCGUGGGGAGCAAACAGGAUUAGA
This 259-nucleotide ribosomal RNA is filed under the name uncultured Lysobacterales bacterium. RNAcentral's name for it is "uncultured Xanthomonadales bacterium partial 16S ribosomal RNA". It matches the Rfam family "Bacterial small subunit ribosomal RNA", at positions 524 to 782 of the family's 1533-position model. The record is from RNAcentral. Lineage: Bacteria; Pseudomonadati; Pseudomonadota; Gammaproteobacteria; Lysobacterales.